This 460-nucleotide ribosomal RNA is filed under the name uncultured bacterium. RNAcentral's name for it is "partial 16S ribosomal RNA". It matches the Rfam family "Bacterial small subunit ribosomal RNA", at positions 338 to 795 of the family's 1533-position model. The record is from RNAcentral.
CCUACGGGCGGCAGCAGUGAGGAAUAUUGGUCAAUGGACGAGAGUCUGAACCAGCCAAGUAGCGUGAAGGAUGACUGCCCUAUGGGUUGUAAACUUCUUUUAUAUGGGAAUAAAACGUUCCACGUGUGGGAUUUUGUAUGUACCAUAUGAAUAAGGAUCGGCUAACUCCGUGCCAGCAGCCGCGGUAAUACGGAGGAUCCGAGCGUUAUCCGGAUUUAUUGGGUUUAAAGGGAGCGUAGGUGGAUUGUUAAGUCAGUUGUGAAAGUUUGCGGCUCAACCGUAAAAUUGCAGUUGAAACUGGGAGUCUUGAGUACAGCAGAGGUGGGCGGAAUUCGUGGUGUAGCGGUGAAAUGCUUAGAUAUCACGAAGAACUCCGAUUGCGAAGGCAGCUCACUGGACUGCAACUGACACUGAGGCUCGAAAGUGUGGGUAUCAAACAGGAUUAGAUACCCGUGUAGUC